RNAcentral lists this ribosomal RNA (253 nucleotides) under uncultured bacterium. RNAcentral describes it as "partial 16S ribosomal RNA". It matches the Rfam family "Bacterial small subunit ribosomal RNA", at positions 524 to 776 of the family's 1533-position model. The record is from RNAcentral.
UACGAAGGGGGCGAGCGUUGUUCGGAAUUACUGGGCGUAAAGGGCGCGCAGGCGGCUCUGAAAGUCAGAUGUGAAAGCCCCGGGCUUAACCUGGGAACUGCGUUUGAUACGGCAGGGCUAGAGUUCGGGAGAGGAGAGUGGAAUUCCCAGUGUAGAGGUGAAAUUCGUAGAUAUUGGGAAGAACACCGGUGGCGAAGGCGGCUCUCUGGACCGAUACUGACGCUGAGGCGCGAAAGCGUGGGGAGCAAACAGG